AAAUGAAAUAGCCUUUCAAGACGUCAUAAUUAUUUGGACUAGGGAUACCCAUAUUAACAACAUCACUCCUAAAGCAAAUAAGAUCUUUUGCUUUUUAAAAAGAAACUUAAAGGUAAAUCAGGAAGAAGCAAAAAGUUUGGCUUACAAUUCUAGUGUACUAUCAAACCUAGAAUAAAUUAUUAAUGUUCUUUAGUUUGGUCUUCUAACACCCAAAAACAAAAAAGGUUGAAAAAGUACAAAGAUAUAGGCAGCACGCUAUGUCACUUCCAUGAUCGACCAUCUUAAAUGGAAGUCGCUUAAAACUCGCAGAAACAUCAAUCGAGUAACAAUGAUGUACAAAAUAACACAAGCUUAUAGCAGUAGAUCCAAACCUUUACCUUUCACCACAGCCAGUUAAAAACACCAGAUUCACCAAUUCACUACAAUAUCAAACAUUCAGUACCAGAACAGAUUACUUCAAGUACAGCUUUUUCCCAUUCGCAGUUGUACUGUGGAAUUUACUUCAACAAAACAUCAUCAGCGUUAAUUUUUGGAUGAGUUUGAAAUACUGAUCCAAAGUCAGUACAUUUAGAAAUCUACCCAGUUUGUAAAAUGUAGAUAAAAGUUGUUGACAUUUUAUAGAUAAGUUAUAAAUCUAUAUUAGUUUGUGACAAAUGAAAGAAAAAAUAUUUGGAACUAUUAAUAAUAUUUGAUUAUAAUUUGAAAAUAGAUAUACACUGUAUUACAUCAUAUCUAAUUUUAGAGAACUAUUAAUCAUAUCAAAUGUUUUUUUCAUCAUGCUUAUACGAUAUUGAUUGAUAAUUGGUAUAUAGUUUUAUCAUGACAAGUUACAGAUCAAGUUCAAAUUUUUGUUUCGGUCUAAUAAUUUUGUGCAGAGUUAUGGUCUUUGGACUUGAAAAAUUCACUCAUAUAAUCAGUUUUCCACACUGUUUUUAGUCAUGCUUGAAGAUAUUGACAUGAUAUUUACUUUUUGUUUACACCAUGGCAAGUUAUAUAACAAGUUAGCAUUUUGUUCCAGUAUAAUGAAUUUUUAUACGACCGCAAAAAAAUUUUUGUGGUCGUAUAUUGGUAUGACGUUGGCGUCGUCGUCGUCGUCCGGCGUCGUCCAAAGACACAUUGGUUUUCGCACUCUAACUUUAGUUUAAGUGAAUGGAUCUCUAUGAAAUUUUACCACAAGGUUCAAUACCACAAAAGAAAGGUUGGGAUUGAUUUUGGGGGUUAUGGUACCAACAGUAAAGGAAUUAGGGGCGAAAAAGGGGCAUUUUUGUAACUUCCAGACAUAACUUGUGUGUUAGUGUAUGGAUCUCUGUGACAUUGUACCACAAGGUUCCAUAUCACUAAAGGAAUGCUGGGAUUGAUUUUGGGGGUUAUUGCCUCAAAAUUUUAGGAAUUAGGGGCCAAAAAAGGGGCAAAAAACAAGCAUUUUUCUAGUUUCAUGACAAUAACUUGUGUGUAAGUGUAUGGAUCUUUCUGAAAUUGUACUACAAGGUUCCAUAUCACAAAGGGAAAGCUGGAAUUGAGUUUGGGGGUAAUUGCCGAAACGUUUAGGAAUUGGGGGCCAAAAAGGGGCCAAAAAUAAGCAUUUUUCUAGUUUCCAGACAAUAACUUGUGUUCAAGUGUAUGGAUCUCUCUGAAAUUGUACUGCAAGGUACCAUACCACAAAGGGAAGGCUGGGAUUGAUGAUGGGGGUAAUUGCCUCAAUAUUUUAGGAAUUAGGGGCCAGAAAGGGGCAAAAAACAAGCAUUUUUCUAGUUUCAGGACAAUAACUUGUGUGUAAGUGUAUGGAUCUUUCUGAAAUUGUACUACAAGGUUCCAUAUCACAAAGGGAAAGCUGGGUUUGAGUUUGGGGGUAAUUGCCCUAAACGUUUAGGAAUUUGGGGCCAAAAAGGGGCCAAAAAACACAUUUUUAUACGACCGCAAAAAAAUUUUUGUGGUCGUAUAUUGCUAUGACGUUGGCGUCGUCCGAAGACACUUGGUUUUCGCACUCUAACUUUAGUUUAAGUGAAUGGAUCUUUAUGAAAUUUUACCGCAAGGUUCAAUACCACAAAAGGAAGGUUGGGAUUGAUUUUGGGGGUUAUGGUAAUAACAGUAAAGGAAUUAGGGGCCAAAAAGGGGCCAAAAAUUCUCUGACAUUGUACCACAAGGUUCCAUAUCACUAAAGGAAUGCUGGGAUUGAUUUUGGGGGUAAUUGCCUCCAAAUUUUAGGAAUUAGGGGCCAAAAAAGGGGCAAAAAACAAGCAUUUUUCUAGUUUCAUGACAAUAACUUGUGUGUAAGUGUAUGGAUCUUUCUGAAAUUGUACUACAAGGUUCCAUAUCACAAAGGGAAAGCUGGGUUUGAGUUUGGGGGUAAUUGCCCUAAACGUUUAGGAAUUUGGGGCCAAAAAGGGGCCAAAAAACACAUUUUUUUCUAGUUUCCAGACAAUAACUUGUGUUCAAGUGUAUGGAUCUCUCUGAAAUUGUACUGCAAGGUACCAUACCACAAAGGGAAGGCUGGGAUUGAGUUUGGGGGUGAUGAAUCAUAAUGGGGGUUCAAAAAAUUUUGGGGGGGGAUUUAUUUUUUUUUCCUUUUUUUCUUUUUUUCCUUUUUUGUUUCUUUUAAAAUUUUCCAUUUUAAGUUGGUUAUUUCUGAUUUAUAUUUAAAAUCAAAUAAUAAUGAUAUGGUAGGAGAUACACACCAAACAGGAUGUGUAAAUUAUUAUAUAAUAAGUAUUGUGCAAUAGCAAGAAAUUUUCAAUUGCACAGUAUUGCACAAUAGCAAGAAAUCUUCAAUUGCACAGUAUUGCGCAAUAGCAAGAAAUCUUCAAUUGCACAGUAUUGCGCAAUAGCAAGAAAUAUUCAAUUGCACAGUAUUGCGCAAUAGCAAGAAAUAUCCAAUAGCACAAUAUUGCGCAAUAGCAAGAAAUUGUCAAUUGUACAGUAUUGCGCAAUAGCAAGAAAUAUUUAAUAGCACAGGAUUGUGCAAAAGAAGAUACUUCCUAUAAGUUGCUUAUUUCUUGACCAAUUUCAAUGGGGUUUUAUUCUUGAUUUCAUGGGGUUCUUUAAUAUGCUGAAUCUAACCGUGUAUUUAGUUUUUGGAUUUUGGGCCCCGUUUUUAAAUUGGUCCACAUUGAGGUCCAAAGGGUCCAAAAUUAAACUUUGUUUGAUUUCAUCAAAAAUUGAAUUAUUGGGGUUCUUUGAUAUGCCGAAUCUAACUGUGUAUUUAGAUUCUUAAAUUUUGGUUCCGUUUUCAAAUUGGUCUACAUUAAGGUCCAAAGGGUCCAAAAUUAAACUUAGUUUGAUUUUAACAAAAAUUGAAUUCUUAGGGUUCUUUGAUAUGCUGAAUCUAAACAUGUAUUUAGAUUUUUGAUUAUGGGCCCAGUUUUCAAGUUGGUCCAAAUCGGGGUCCAAAAUUAAACUUUGUUUGAUUUCAACAAAAAUUGAAUAUAUGGGGUUCUUUGAUAUGCUGAAUCUAACCAUGUAUUUAGAUUUUUGAUUUUUGGGCCCCGUUAUCAACUUUGUCCACAUUGAGGUCAAAAGGGUCCAAAAUUAAACUUUGUUUGAUUUCAUCAAAAAUUGAAUUAUUGGGGUUCUUUGAUAUGCCGAAUCUAACCGUGUAUUUAGAUUCUUAAUUUUUGGUUCCGUUUUCAAAUUGGUCUACAUUAAGGUCCAAAGGGUCCAAAAUUUAACUUAGUUUGAUUUUAACAAAAAUUGAAUUCUUAGGGUUCUUUGAUAUGCUGAAUCUAAACAUGUAUUUAGAUUUUUGAUUAUGGGCCCAGUUUUCAAGUUGGUCCAAAUCGGGGUCCAAAAUUAAACUUUGUUUGAUUUCAACAAAAAUUGAAUAUAUGGGGUUCUUUGAUAUGCUGAAUCUAACCAUAUAUUUAGAUUUUUGAUUUGUGGGCCCCGUUAUCAACUUUGUCCACAUUGAGGUCAAAAGGGUCCAAAAUUAAACUUUGUUUGAUUUCAUCAAAAAUUGAAUUCUUGGGGUUCUUUGAUAUGCUGAAUCUAACCAUGUAUUUAGAUUUUGGAUAUUGGACCAUAAUAGGUGAAUGUCCAAUUUAAAAUUUUUAAGUUCUUAGACCACAUUCAAUCUGUGUUAGAAACCUAUGCUGUGUCAAAUAUUUAAUCACAAUCCAAAUCCAAAGCUGUAUCAAGCUUGAAUGUUGUGUCCAUACUUCCCCCAACUGUUCAGGGUUCGACCUCUGCGGUCGUAUCAAGCUGCGCCCUGCGGAGCAUUUUAUUCUAGUUUCCAGACAAUAACUUGUGUUCAAGUUUAUGGAUCUCUCUGAAAUUGUACUGCAAGGUACCAUACCACAAAGGGAAGGCUGGGAUUGAGUUUGGGGGUGAUGAAUCAUAAGGGGGUUCCAAAAAUUUGGGGGGGGGGGGGGGGUUUCCUUUUUUUUUUUUUUUUUCCUUUUUUUUUUCUUUAAAAUUUUCCAUUUUAAGUUGGUUAUUUCUGAUUUAUAUUUAAAAGCAAAUAAUAAUGAUAUGGUAGGAGAUACACACCAAACAGGAUGUGUAAAUUAUUAUAUAAUAAGUAUUGUGCAAUAGCAAGAAAUUUUCAAUUGUACAGUAUUGCACAAUAGCAAGAAAUCUUCAAUUGCACAGUAUUGUGCAAUAGCAAGAAAUCUUCAAUUGCACAGUAUUGUGCAAUAGCAAGAAAUAUCCAAUAGCACAAUAUAGCGCAAUAGCAAGAAAUUGUCAAUUGUACAGUAUUGCGCAAUAGCAAGAAGUAUUUAAUUGCACAGUAUUGUGCAAAAGAAGAUACUUCGUAUAAAUUGCUUCUUUCUUGACCAAUUUCAAUGGGGUUUUAUUCUUGAAUUCUUGGGGUUCUUUAAUAUGCUGAAUCUAACUGUGUAUUUAGUUUUUGAAUUUUGGGCCCCGUUUUUAAAUUGGUCCACAUUGAGGUCCAAAGGGUCCAAAAUUAAACUUUGUUUGAUUUUACAAAAAUUGAAUAUAUGGGGUUCUUUGAUAUGCUGAAUCUAAACAUGUAUUUAGAUUUUUGAUUUUUGGCCCAGUUUUCAAGUUGGUCCAAAUUGGGGUCCAAAAUUAAACUUUGUUUGAUUUCAACAAAAAUUGAAUAAAUGGGGUUCUUUGAUAUGCUGAAUCUAACCAUGUAUUUAGAUUUUUUUUUGGUGGGCCCCGCUAUCAAGUUGGUUCAUAUUGAGGUCAAAAGGGUCCAAAAUUAAACUUUGUUUGAUUUCAUCAAAAAUUGAAUUAUUGGGGUUCUUUGAUAUGCCAAAUCUAACCGUGUAUUUAGAUUUUUAAUUUUGGGUCCUGUUUUUUAGAUUGGUCUACAUUAAGGUCAAAAGGGUCCAAAAUUAAACUUAGUUUGAUUUUAACAAAAAUUGAAUUCUUGGGGUUCUUUGAUAUGCUGAAUCUAAACAUGUGUUUAGAUUUUUGAUUAUGGGCCCAGUUUUCAAGUUUGUCCAAGUUGGGGUCCAAAAUUAAACUUUGUUUGAUUUCAAUAAAAAUUGAAUAUAUGGGGUUCUUUGAUAUGCUGAAUCUAACCAUGUAUUUUGAUUUUGGACAUUGGACCAUAAUAGGUAAAUUAAAAAAAAUCAAGUUCUUAGACCACAUUCUUUCUGUGUCAGAAACCUAUGCUGUGUCAAAUAUUUAAUCACAAUCCAAAUUCAGAGCUGUAUCAAGCUUGAAUGUUGUGUCCAUACUUGCCCCAACUGUUCAGGGUUCGACCUCUGCGGUUGUAUCAAGCUGCGCCCAGCGAAGAAUUUUAUUCUAGUUUCCAGUCAAUAACUUGUGUUCAAGUGUAUGUCUCUCUGAAAUUGUACUGCAAGGUACCAUACCACAAAGGGAAGGCUGGGAUUGAUGAUGGGGGUAAUUGCCUCAAUAUUUUAGGAAUUAGGGGCAAAAAACAAGCAUUUUUGUAGUUUCAGGACAAUAACUUGUGUGUAAGUGUAUGGAUCUUUAUGAAAUUGUACUACAAGGUUCCAUAUCAUAAAGGGAAAGCUGGGUUUGAGUUUAGGGGUAAUUGCCCUAAACGUUUAGGAAUUUGGGGCCAAAAAGGGGCCAAAAAUAAGCAUUUUUCUAGUUUCCAGACAAUAACUUGUGUUCAAGUGUAUGGAUCUCUCUGAAAUUGUACUGCAAGGUACCAUACCACAUAGGGAAGGCUGGGAUUGAGUUUGGGGGUGAUGAAUCAUAAGGGUGUUCAAAAAAUUUGUUGGGGGGGGAUUUUUUUUUUUUCCUUUUUUCUUUCUUGUAAAAUUUUCCUUUAAGUUGGUUAUUUCUGAUUUAUAUUUAAAAGCAAAUAAUAAUGAUAUGGUAGGAGAUACACACCAAACAGGAUGUGUAAAUUAUUAUAUAAUAAGUAUUGUGCAAUAGCAAGAAAUUUUCAAUUGCACAGUAUUGUACAAUAGCAAGAAAUCUUCAAUUGCACAGUAUUGCGCAAUAGCAAGUAAUCUUCAAUUGCACAGUAUUGCGCAAUAGCAAGAAAUAUCCAAUAGCACAAUAUUGCGCAAUAGCAAGAAAUUGUCAAUUGUACAGUAUUGCGCAAUAGCCAGAAAUAUUCAAUUGCACAGUAUUGUGCAAAAGAAGAUACUUCCUAUAAAUUGCUUAUUUCUUGACCAAUUUCAAUGGGGUUUUAUUCUUGAACUCUUGGGGUUCUUUAAUAUGCUGAAUCUAACCGUGUAGUAAGUUUUUGGAUUUUGGGCCCCGUUUUUAAAUUGGUCCACAUUGAGGUCCAAAGGGUCCAAAAUUAAACUUUGUUUGAUUUCAUCAAAAAUUGAAUUAUUGGGGUUCUUUGAUAUGCCGAAUCUAACCGUGUAUUUAGAUUCUUAAUUUUUGGUUCCGUUUUCAAAUUGGUCUACAUUAAGGUCCAAAGGGUCCAAAAUUAAACUUAGUUUGAUUUUAACAAAAAUUGAAUUCUUAGGGUUCUUUGAUAUGCCGAAUCUAAACAUGUAUUUAGAUUUUUGAUUAUGGGCCCAGUUUUCAAAUUGGUCCAAAUCAGGGUCCAAAAUUAAACUUUGUUUGAUUUCAACUAAAAUUGAAUAUAUGGGGUUCUUUGAUAUGCUGAAUCUAAACAUGUAUUUUGAUUUUGGACAUUGGACCAUAAUAGGUAUAUUAAAAAAAUUCAAGUUCUUAGACCACAUUCUUUCUGUGUCAGAAACCUAUGCUGUGUCAAAUAUUUAAUCACAAUCCAAAUUCAGAGCUGUAUCAAGCUUGAAUGUUGUGUCCAUACUUGCCCCAACUGUUCAGGGUUCGACCUCUGCGGUCGUAUCAAGCUGCGCCCAGCGAAGCAUUUUAUUCUAGUUUCCAGACAAUAACUUGUGUUCAAGUGUAUGUCUCUCUGAAAUUGUACUGCAAGGUACCAUACCACAAAGGGAAGGCUGGGAUUGAUGAUGGGGGUAAUUGCCUCAAUAUUUUAGGAAUUAGGGGCAAAAAACAAGCAUUUUUGUAGUUUCAGGACAAUAACUUGUGUGUAAGUGUAUGGAUCUUUAUGAAAUUGUACUAUAAGGUUCCAUAUCACAAAGGGAAAGCUGGGUUUGAGUUUGGGGGUAAUUGCCCUAAACGUUUAGGAAUUUGGGGCCAAAAAGGGGCCAAAAAUAAGCAUUUUUCUAGUUUCCAGACAAUAACUUGUGUUCAAGUGUAUGGAUCUCUCUGAAAUUGUACUGCAAGGUACCAUACCACAAAGGGAAGGCUGGGAUUGAGUUUGGGGGUGAUGAAUCAUAAGGGUGUUCAAAAAAUUUGUUGGGGGGGAUUUUUUUUUUUUUCCUUUUUUCUUUCUUGUAAAAUUUUCCAUUUUAAGUUGGUUAUUUCUGAUUUAUAUUUAAAAGCAAAUAAUAAUGAUAUGGUAGGAGAUACACACCAAACAGGAUGUGUAAAUUAUUAUAUAAUAAGUAUUGUGCAAUAGCAAGAAAUUUUCAAUUGCACAGUAUUGUACAAUAGCAAGAAAUCUUCAAUUGCACAGUAUUGCGCAAUAGCAAGUAAUCUUCAAUUGCACAGUAUUGCGCAAUAGCAAGAAAUAUCCAAUAGCACAAUAUUGCGCAAUAGCAAGAAAUUGUCAAUUGUACAGUAUUGCACAAUAGCCAGAAAUAUUCAAUUGCACAGUAUUGUGCAAAAGAAGAUACUUCCUAUAAAUUGCUUAUUUCUUGACCAAUUUCAAUGGGGUUUUAUUCUUGAAUUCUUGGGGUUCUUUAAUAUGCUGAAUCUAACCGUGUAGUAAGUUUUUGGAUUUUGGGCCCCGUUUUUAAAUUGGUCCACAUUGAGGUCCAAAAGGUCCAAAAUUAAACUUUGUUUGAUUUCAUCAAAAAUUGAAUUAUUGGGGUUCUUUGAUAUGCCGAAUCUAACCGUGUAUUUAGAUUCUUAAUUUUUGGUUCCGUUUUCAAAUUGGUCUACAUUAAGGUCCAAAGGGUCCAAAAUUUAACUUUGUUUGAUUUCAUCAAAAAUUGAAUUAUUGGGGUUCUUUGAUAUGCCGAAUCUAACCGUGUAUUUAGAUUCUUAAUUUUUGGUUCCGUUUUCAAAUUGGUCUACAUUAAGGUCAAAAGGGUCCAAAAUUAAACUUAGUUUGAUUUUAACAAAAAUUGAAUUUUUAGGGUACUUUGAUAUGCUGAAUCUAAACAUGUAUUUAGAUUUUUGAUUAUGGGCCCAGUUUUCAAGUUGGUCCAAAUCGGGGUCCAAAAUUAAACUUUGUUUGAUUUCAACAAAAAUUGAAUAUAUGGGGUUCUUUGAUAUACUGAAUCUAACCAUGUAUUUUGAUUUUGGACAUUGGACCAUAAUAGGUAAAUUAAAAAAAUUGAAGUUCUUAGACCACAUUCUUUCUGUGUCAGAAACCUAUGCUGUGUCAAAUAUUUAAUCACAAUCCAAAUUCAGAGCUGUAUCAAGCUUGAAUGUUGUGUCCAUACUUGCCCCAACUGUUCAGGGUUCGACCUCUGGGGUCGUAUCAAGCUGCGCCCAGCGAAGCAUUUUAUUAGGAAUUAAGGGCAAAAAACAAGCAUUUUUCUAGUUUCAUGACAAUAACUUGUGUGUUAGUGUAUGGAUCUCUCUGACAUUGUACCACAAGGUUCCAUAUCACAAAAGGAAAGCAACAAUUGAGUUUGGGGGUAAUUGCCCGAAACGUUUAGGAAUAAGGGGCCAAAAAUAAGCAUUUUUCUAGUUUCCAGACAAUAUCUUGUGUUCAAGUUCAUGGAUCUCUCUGAAAUUGUACUGCAAGGUACCAUACCACAAAGGAAAGUCUGGGAUUGAUUUUGGGGGUAAUUGUCUCAAAAUUUUAGGAAUUAGGGGCCAUAAAGGGGCAAACAAACAAGCAUUUUUCUAGUUUCAUGACAAUAACUUGUGUGUAAGUGUAUGGAUCUUUAUGAAAUUGUACUGCAAGGUUCCAUAUCACAAAGGGAAAGCUGGGUUUGAGUUUGGGGGUAAUUGCCCUAAACGUUUAGGAAUUUCCAACCAUCAUGGCCAACUUGGUUAAAAAUAGAACUUAGGGGGAAAAUGCAGUUUUUAUACGACCGCAAAAAUUAAAAAUUUUUUGGUCGUAUAUUAGUAUGACGUUGGCAUCGUCGUCGUCGUCGUCGUCCGAAGACACAUUGGUUUUCGCACUCUAACUUUAGUUUAAGUGAAUGGAUCUCCAUGAAAUUUUACCAUAAGGUUCAAUACCACGAAAGGAAGGUUGGGAUUGAUUUUGGGGGUUAUGGUACCAACAGUUAAGGAAUUAGGGGCCAAAAAGGGGCCAAAAAUAAGCAUUUUAUAACUUUCAGACAAUAACUUGUGUGUAAGUGUAUGGAUCUCUCUGACAUUGUACCACAAGGUUCCAUAUCACAAAGGGAAGGCUGUAAUUGAUUUUGGGGGUAAUUGCCUCAAAAUUUUAGGAAUAAGGGGCCAAAAAAGGGGCAAAAAACAAGCAUUUUUCUAGUUUCAUGACAAUAACUUGUGUGUAAGUGUUUGGAUAUUUCUGAAAUUGUACCACAAGGUUUCAUAUCACAAAGGGAAAGCUGGAAUUGAGUUCGGGGGUAAUUGCCUGAAACGUUUAGGAAUUGGGGGCCAAAAAGGGGCCAAAAAUAAGCAUUUUUCUAGUUUCAAGACAAUAACUUGUGUUCAAGUGUAUGGAUCUCUCUGAAAUUGUACUGCAAGGUACCAUACCACAAAGGGAAGGCUGGGAUUGAGUUUGGGGGUGAUGAAUCAUAAGGGGGUUCAAAAAAUUUGGGGGGGGGGAUUUUUUUUUUUUCUUUUUUUUUCUUUUUUUUCUUUUUUUUUUCUUUUAAAAUUUUCCAUUUUAAGUUGGUUAUUUCUGAUUUAUAUUUAAAAGCAAAUAAUAAUGAUAUGGUAGGAGAUACACACCAAACAGGAUGUGUAAAUUUUUAUAUAAUAAGUAUUGUGCAAUAGGAAGAAAUUUUCAAUUGCACAGUAUUGCACAAUAGCAAGAAAUCUUCAAUUGCACAGUAUUGCGCAAUAGCAAGAAAUCUUCAAUUGCACAGUAUUGCGCAAUAGCAAGAAAUAUCCAAUAGCACAAUAUUGCGCAAUAGCAAGAAAUUGUCAAUUGUACAGUAUUGGGCAAUAGCAAGAAAUAUUCAAUUGCACAGUAUUGUGCAAAAGAAGAUAUAUACUUCUUAUAAAUUGCUUAUUUCUUGAUCAAUUUCAAUGGGGUUUUAUUCUUGAAUUCUUGGGGUUCUUUAAUAUGCUGAAUAUAACCGUGUAUUAAGUUUUUGGAUUUUGGGCCCCGUUUUUAAAUUGGUCCACAUUGAGGUCCAAAGGGUCCAAAAUUUAACUUUGUUUGAUUUCAUCAAAAAUUGAAUUAUUGGGGUUCUUUGAUAUGCCGAAUCUAACCGUGUAUUUAGAUUCUUAAUUUUUGGUUCCGUUUUCAAAUUGGAGUACAUUAAGGUCCAAAGGGUCCAAAAUUAAACUUAGUUUGAUUUUAACAAAAAUUGAAUGUUUAGUGUUCUUUGAUAUGCUGAAUCUAAACAUGUAUUUAGAUUUUUGAUUAUGGGCCCAGUUUUCAAGUUGGUCCAAAUCGGGGUCCAAAAUUAAACUUUGUUUGAUUUCAACAAAAAUUGAAUAUAUGGGGUUCUUUGAUAUGCUGAAUCUAACCAUGUAUUUAGAUUUUUGGGCCCCGUUAUCAACUUUGUCCACAUUGAGGUCAAAAGGGUCCAAAAUUAAACUUUGUUUGAUUUCAUCAAAAAUUGAAUUCUUGGGGUUCUUUGAUAUGCCGAAUCUAACCGUGUAUUUAGAUUCUUAAUUUUUGGUUCCGUUUUCAAAUUGGAGUACAUUAAGGUCCAAAGGGUCCAAAAUUAAACUUAGUUUGAUUUUAACAAAAAUUGAAUGUUUAGUGUUCUUUGAUAUGCUGAAUCUAAACAUGUAUUUAGAUUUUUGAUUAUGGGCCCAGUUUUCAAGUUGGUCCAAAUUGGGGUCCAAAAUUAAACUUUGUUUGUUUUCAACAAAAAUUGAAUAUAUGGGGUUCUUUGAUAUGCUGAAUCUAACCAUGUAUUUAGAUUUUUGGGCCCCGUUAUCAACUUUGUCCACAUUGAGGUCAAAAGGGUCCAAAAUUAAACUUUGUUUGAUUUCAUCAAAAAUUGAAUUCUUGGGGUUCUUUGAUAUGCUGAAUCUAACCAUGUAUUUAGAUUUUGGAUAUUGGACCAUAAUAUGUGAAUGUGCAAUUUAAAAUUUUUAAGUUCUUAGACCACAUUCAUUCUGUGUCAGAAACCUAUGCUGUGUCAAAUAUUUAAUCACAAUCCAAAUUCAGAGCUGUAUCAAGCAUGAAUGUUGUGUCCAUACUUGCCCCAACUGUUCAGGGUUCGACCUCUGCGGUCGUAUCAAGCUGCGCCCUGCGGAGCAUUUUAUUGGUUUAUAUUUCUGAAACUAAAGCAUUUAGAGCAAAUCUGACAGGUGGCAAAAAUGUUCAUCAGAUUUAGAUUUCAGACGAAUCCGACAACCUGUUGUUGGGUCGCUGCCCCUUAGUUAGUAAUUUUACAAAAAUUUUGCAGUUUUUAUACGACCGCAAAAAAAUUUUUGUGGUCGUAUAUUGGUAUGACGUUGGCGUCGUCGGCGUCAUCGUCGUCGUCCGAAGACACAUUAGUUUUCGCACUCUUAACUUAAGUUUAAGUUAAUGGAUCUCAAUGAAAUUUAACCAUAAGGUUCAAUACCACAAAAGGAAGGUUGGGAUUGAUUUUGGGGGUUAUGGUACCAACAGUUAAGGAAUUAAGGGCCAAAAAGGGGCCAAAAAUAAGCAUUUUUGUAACUUCCAGACAUAACUUGUGUGUAAGUCUAUGGAUCUCUCUGACAUUGUACCAAAAGUUUCCAUAUCACAAAGGGAAUGCUGGGAUUAAUUUUGGGGGUAAUUGCCUCAGAAUUGUAGGAAUUGGGGGCCAAAAACAAGCAUUUUUCUAGUUUCAUGACAAUAACUUGUGUGUAAGUCUAUGGAUCUCUCUGAAAUUGUAUCACAAGGUUCCAUAUCAUAAAGGGAAUGCUGGGAUUGAUUUUGGGGGUAAUUGCCUCAGAAUUGUAGGAAUUGGGGGCCAACAAGGGGCAAAAAACAAGCAUUUUUCUAGUUUCAUGACAAUAACUUGUGUGUAAGUGUAUGGAUCUUUAUGAAAUUGUACUACAAGGUUCCAUAUCACACAGGGAAAGCUGGAAUUGAGUUUCGGGGUAAUUGCCCAAAAAGUUUAGGAAUUAGGGGCCAAAAAGGGGCCCAAAAUAAGCAUUUUUCUAGUUUCCAGACAAUAACUUGUGUUCAAGUGUAUGGUUCUCUCUGAAAUUGUACUGCAAGGUACCAUACCACAAAGGGAAGGCUGGGAUUGAUUUUGGGGGUAAUUCCCUCAAAAUUUUAGUAAUUAGGGGCCAUAAAAGGGCAAAAAAACAAGCAUUUUCUAGUUUCAGGACAAUAACUUGUGUGUAAGUGUAUGGAUCUUUAUGAAAUUGUACUGCAAGGUUCCAUAUCACAAAUGGAAAGCUGGGUUUGAGUUUGGGGAUAAUUGCCCUAAACGUUUAGGAAUUUGGGGCCAAAAAGGGGCCAAAAAACACAUUUUUCUAGUUUCCAGACAAUAACUUGUGUUCAAGUGUAUGGAUCUCUCUGAAAUUGUACUGCAAGGUACCAGACCACAAAGGGAAGGCUGGGAUUGAGUUUGGGGGUGAUGAAUCAUAAGGGGGUUCAAAAAAUUUGGGGGGGGGGGGAUUUUUUUUUUUUUCCUUUUUAUUUCUUUUAAAAUUUUCCAUUUUAAGUUGGUUAUUUCUGAUUUAUAUUUAAAAGCAAGUAAUAAUGAUAUGGUAGGAGAUACACACCAAACAGGAUGUGUUAAUUAUUAUAUAAAAAGUAUUGUGCAAUAGCAAGAAAUUUUCAAUUGCACAGUAUUGCACAAUAGCAAGAAAUCUUCAAUUGCACAGUAUUGCGCAAUAGCAAGAAAUCUUCAAUUGCACAGUAUUGCGCAAUAGCAAGAAAUAUCCAAUAGCACAAUAUUGCGCAAUAGCAAGAAAUUGUCAAUUGUACAGUAUUGCGCAAUAGCAAAAAAUAUUUAAUUGCACAGUAUUGUGCAAAAGAAGAUACUUCAUUUAAAUUGCUUAUUUCUUGACCAAUUUCAAUGGGGUUUUAUUCUUGAAUUCUUGGGGUUCUUUAAUAUGCUGAAUCUUACAGUGUAUUUAGUUUUUGGAUUUUGGGCCUCGUUUUUAAAUUGGUCCACAUUGAGGUCCAAAGGGUCCAAAAUUAAACUUUGUUUGAUUUCAUCAAAAAUUGAAUUAUUGGGGUUCUUUGAUAUGCCGAAUCUAACCGUGUAUUUAGAUUCUUAAUUUUUGGUUCCGUUUUCAAAUUGGUCUACAUUAAGGUCCAAAGGGUCCAAAAUUAAACUUAGUUUGAUUUUAAUAAAAAUUGAAUUCUUGGGUUCUUUGAUAUGCUAAAUCUAAACAUGUAUUUAGAUUUUUGAUUAUGGGCCCAGUUUUCAAGUUGGUCCAAAUCGGGGUCCAAAAUUAAACUUUGUUUGAUUUCAACAAAAAUUGAAUAUAUGGGGUUCUUUAGUAUGCUGAAUCUAACCAUGUAUUUAGAUUUUUGAUUUUUGGUUCCAUUUUCAAAUUGGUCUACAUUAAGGUCCAAAGGGUCCAAAAUUAAACUUAGUUUGAUUUUAACAAAAAUUGAAUUCUUAGGGUUCUUUGAUAUGCUGAAUCUAAACAUGUAUUUAGAUUUUUGAUUAUGGGCCCAGUUUUCAAGUUUGUCCAAAUCGGGGUCCAAAAUUAAACUUUGUUUGAUUUCAACACAAAUUGAAUAUAUGGGGUUCUUUGAUAUGCUGAAUCUAACCAUGUAUUUUGAUUUUUGGGCCCCGUUAUCAACUUUGUCCACAUUGAGGUCAAAAGGGUCCAAAAUUAAAGUUUGUCUGAUUUCAUCAAAAAUUGAAUUCUUGGGGUUCUUUGAUAUGCUGAAUCUAACCAUGUAUUUAGAUUUUGGAUAUUGGACCAUAAUAGGUGGAUGUCCAAUUUAAAAUUUUUAAGUUCUUAGACCACAUUCAUUCUGUGUCAGAAACCUAUGCUGUGUCAAAUAUUUAAUUACAAUCCAAAUGCAAAGCUGUAUCAAGCUUGAAUGUUGUGUCCAUACUUGCCCCAACUGUUCAGGGUUCGACCUCUGCGGUCGUAUCAAGCUGCGCCCAGCGGAGCAUUUUAUUAGACUUAUAUCUCGAAUUUGACAUGCACAGUCAUCUCAGUACCAGAAUCUAUGACAAACGAGACGAUUUUAAUUUUAAAAUUAUAAAUUUCCCCCACCUUAGUAGCAAUAUACACUACAAAAGUCUAAAAGUCUGAAAAGACCAGUUUUUGUCUUAAUUUGCAUGAACUUUUACUCGACAUUCUCCAAAAGUAUGACUUGUGUCUUAAUUUUUCUUGACAAAUUCUCAUUUAUAUUAAAUUUGUAUGAAAUUUACUCGACAUAUUCUCGACAUUCUGAAUAUGGUCUUAAAAUUUCUUGACAAAUUCUUGACAUUUGAAUACUGUCUUGAAAUUUCUCGACAUAUUCUCGACAUUCUUAAUUUUUCUCAGUAUGGCUUGACAUAUUCUGAACAUUUUGAAUUGUGUCUUAAAUUUACUUGACAGUUCUGAGUUUUACAAAUCAUGACCAAUAUUCAUGAUAUAACUUUAAUCUUUAUUUCUUUUUAUAUGAUAUACUGUUGUUUCAAGUUACACUUCUUUACAACAAAAAUAAAAGUUGGGCAUGUAAAAUAAUUGAAAAUUUGGGUAUAUAAAUAUUUUUACAAAUGCAAAUAUGGCUAUGAAAUCUAAAGUAUAAAAUAAUUCAAAUGUGGGUGUGUUGAUAUUAAACAAUUAAGAAUUUCAAUGUGGGUUUUUAAAUAAUUACAAAUUUUGAUUCCUAAAUCUUAUAAAUUAAAUGAUUCAAACCAAUCAUACUGUAGACAUAUUUCAUUCUACAUUCAUAAUAUUCAAUGUUGAUAUGGUAAAUAAUUAUUAUACCAAAAUGUGGUUUAUAUAAAUAGCAAAUUAUGAUGAUAUACAAAUCAUUCAUUUAACAGAAGAAAAAUUUGUGUAAUGUCAUCUGUUGGAAUAUAUUAAGUAUUACACAUGGACAGGAUGUUCCCCAUAAAAUUAAGGUAUUCCACACCCCAGAGUACACGCAACUGUCAAAUAGAAGUUAUUGCUUUACCUGUAAUCAGCCAUACAACUUAUCAGUUGACCGACCAUGCCACUACAAUUUAAAAAGUUUGUUGAUAGAUGAAAAUGAAAAUCAUCAUUUUGAUGAAAAAAAAUUGAAUUGAAAUGGAUUUUCUUCAUCAAAAUUAUGAAGUUAAUUAUUUUAACAAAAAAACAAAUUGAAUAAUUCCCAAAGAUUAAAAGAAAAUUAUUAUCUACUCCAGGAAUAAUAAAAAAAAUGUAUUUAUAAUGGGUCCCAUCAAUGAUUUAUAGAAAUCAUCGGUCUUAUGAAAUGGUUCUCAAACAGACAUGCAUAAUAUAGAUCUAAACAUUUUUUUCUUUUCAGGAAGGAGUUAUCACAAAUAUUUAUUUUUGAUAAAAAAUUAUAAAAUUCAACACUCAAAUUUGAAUAAAAAAUGUUUUUGGGUUCUAAAAAAUGAAUAAGGUUUUUGAAUCAAGAUGGGAACAAAUUCUUUGACCUAAACGAAAGCCCCCCCCCCCUUUUUUUUUAGCCACACAAACCCAAAAGAUGAAUUGUGGGGUCCAAAAGAGAUACAAGACACCUAUUUUAGUAAAGCAAAUUUGACGGGCAGUUUUGCGAAUGGCAAAAAUCUAAAUGCUGUUUGUCAAUACCUUCGACUUAUAUUCCAAGUGAAAACAAUAACUUAAAUGUUUAAUAAAAAUAAAUCAAAAUUAAACUACAUGGGGGAUUAUUCAGGGUAUUCCAACUUAGUUGCACCAAAAGGGUAUCUUACUUUACCAAAUUAAUCCUUGAUUCUUCAAAGUUUAGUUUAGCCAUAAUAAAAAGGAGUAUAUAACAGCAAUUGAAUGUCAUAAACAGUGCAGAAUAAGUCUGUUCACAUUUCAGGCGAAAUUUAUACUGUUGAGAUAGUGUCAAGACAUAUUUAAGACUGUCAAGAAUGUGUCGAGACAUUAUUUAGAAUGUCAAGAAUAUGUCGAGACAUAUUCAGACAUUAUUAAGAAUGUCAAGAAUAUGUCAAGACAGAUCGAGACAAAUUUAAGACAGUCAAGAAUUGGUCGAGACUAAUCCAGACUCUUAUCAGAUGAUACAGGAAGUGUCGAGAAAUUUUAAGACAAUGUUCAUACUGUCAAGGCACUUGUCAAGAAAAAUCAAGAACCUUAUUAGACAAAUUCAUACUAUGUCAAGAAUUUUUAAAAAUUAUUCAGACAAAUUAAGAAUGUCGAGUAAAAAUUCAUGCAAAUUCAGACAAAAACUGGUCUUUUCAGACUUUUUGACUUUUGUAGUGAUACCAACUUCACCUGCAUAUGGGAUAUACAUUUCCCAACUUAUUCGAUAUUCAAGAGCUUGCAGCUCCUACUCAGACUUUGUAAAACGUCACCAGUGUCUGAGCAGAAAGUUGAUGAACCAGGGGUAUGUCAAAGAACGUCUCGUCCUUUUUCUAAAAAAGUUCAUCGGAAGGUACCAAGACCUUGUUGAUAAAUAUUCCGUAUCAACUUUACAAAUAAUACAUGAUGGUCUUGAAGUAUAGAUUCUGCAUACUGACGUUGUUUGUCAUCUUAACAACGUGUUAUAUUGUUCUUUCAUUUGUCUUUGUUCUAUUAUUAAUAUUACUUUAACUGUUUGGUUUGUUUUCUGUGAUAUCCAUUUGACGUGGCUAGGUACUUAUACAUCCCGUCAAUGUGUUUGUAUUAUCUUUCAUUUUUGAUUGUGUGUUUUGUAUAUGCGACUUUUUGUGUUUCUGUGGUUCUUAUAACGUGACUCUGUACUUUAAAAGAUCCCGUCAUUAUGUUAUUGUUCUAUUAUAUGUCAUUAUGUUAUUCUUCUAUUAUAAAUUUGAAAAUACUUUGAACGACAAAUUUAUUUUAUUCGCGUAGUGGUAUUACUAAAGAACUUCUGGACAAUUUUAAAUCUCUUGUCUAUUUCUGAAAUUAGUUCUAACAUAACUUUUGAUUUUUGUCGAGCCUGCGACUUUUGUCGCAGAAAGCUCGACAUAGGGAUAGUGAACCGGCGGCGGCGGCAUUAGCUAACUUCUUGAAAGCUUUAUAUUUUAGAGGGUGGAAGACCUGGAUGCUUCAUACUUUGUAUAUGGAUGCCUCAUGUUACGAAGUUUCCGUCAGUCACAUGUCCAAUGUCCUUGACCUCAUUUUCAUGGUUCAGUGACUACUUGAAAAAAAAGUUAAGAUUUUUUGUAAUGUUAAAUUCUCUCUUAUAAGUAAUUGGAUAACUAUAUUUGGUAUGUGCGUACCUUGCAAGGUCCUCAUGCCCGUCAGACAGUUUUCACUUGACCUCGACCUCAUUUCAUGGAUCAGUGAACAAGGUUAAGUUUUCGUGGUCAAGUCCAUAUCUCAAGAUACUAUAAGCAAUAGGUCUAGUAUAUUCGGUGUAUGGAAGAACUGUAAGGUGUACAUGUCCACCUGGCAGGUGUCAUCUGACCUUGACCUCAUUUUCAUGGUUCAGUGGUUAUAGUUGAGUUUUUGUGUUUUGGUCUGUUUUUCUUAUACUGUAUGCAAUAGGUCUACUAUAUUUGGUGUAUGGAAGGAUUGUAAGGUGUACAUGUCUAGCUGGCAGGUGUCAUCUGACCUUGACCUCAUUUUCAUGGUUCAGUGGUUAUAGUUCAGUUUUUAUACGACCGCAAAAAAAUGUGGUCGUAUAUUGGUAUGACGUUGGCGUCGUCGUCGUCCGAAGACACAUUAGUUUUCGCACUCUAACUUUAGUUUAAGUGAAUGGAUCUCUAUGAAAUUUUACCAUAAGGUGCAAUACCACAAAAGGAAGGUGGGGAUUGAUUUUGGGGGUUAUGGUACCAACAGUUAAGGAAUUAGGGGCCAAAAAUAAGCAUUUUUGUAACUUCCAGACAUAACUUGUGUGUUAGUGUAUGGAUCUCUCUGACAUUGUACCACAAGGUUCCAUAUCACAAAGGGAAUGCUGGGAUUGAUUUUGGGGGUAAUUGCCUCCAAAUUUUAGGAAUUGGGGGCCAAAAAGGGGAAAAAAACAAGCAUUUUUCUAGUUUCAUGACAAUAACUUGUGUGUGAGUGUAUGGAUCUCUCUGACAUUGUACCACAAGGUUCCAUAUCACAAAGGGAAUGCUGGGAUUGAUUUUGGGGGUAAUUGCCUCCAAAUUUUAGGAAUUGGGGGCCAAAAAGGGGCAAAAAACAAGCAUUUUUUUUGUUUCAUGACAAUAACUUGUGUGUAAGUGUAUGGAUCUUUAUGAAAUUGUACUACAAGGUUCCAUAUCACAAAGGGAAAGCUGGAAUUGAUUUUGGGGGUAAUUGCCCACAACAUUUAGGAAUAAGGGGCCAAAAAUAAGCAUUUUUCUAGUUUCAACUUGUGUUCAAGUGUAUGGAUCUCUCUGAAAUUGUACUGCAAGGUACCAAACCACAAAGGGAAGGCUGGGAUUGAUUUUGGGGUUAAUUGCCUCCAAAUUUUAGGAAUUGGGGGCCAAAAAGGGGCAAAAAACAAGCAUUUUUCUAGUUUCAGGACAAUAACUUGUGUGUAAGUGUAUGGAUCUUUAUGAAAUUGUACUGCAAGGUUCCAUAUCACAAAGGGAAAGCUGGGUUUGAGUUUGGGGGUAAUUGCCCUAAAUGUUUAGGAAUUUGGGGCCAAAAAACAAGCAUUUUUCUUGUUUCCAGACAAUAACUUGUGUUCAAGUGUAUGGAUCUCUCUGAAAUUGUACAGUUCAUACAUGUGAACCUCCCGACGGGAGUACAAUAAUCCCGUUUUCAGGGGUCUCCUCCCGACCUCCCGUUGAAGACAAAAAAAUCCCGUGUAUGAAAUAUUUCAUGAAUGAAAAAUUUCAGCCCAACAUAUCUGGUGUAACUGACAUUACUGAAGUUAUAUUUUACCUGUAAAUCAAUUAACAUGCAUAAUUAUAUGGCCUCACUUGUCACCUUGGGUGUCAAACAUACUGGUAAUAAACGAUUUUUACCUCAGGCUAACUGCCGUUGUGUAAUAAAACUUUGUUUAUUUAAAAUGAAUGUUGGGUUACUUCCCUUGAUUUAUCCUGUUUUAAGUUACUUUCCUUUAAAUAAUGUAAAUUUUUAAAAGAAUAUAAAUAAAAUAUAAAUUGAACAAAUAAUCAUAAAAGGAUGGUAAUUAAAUGAUUUUAAAUUUUUUAGGACAAAUAAAAAAAUAAUAAUUUGAAAUUAUUUGAGGGUUCUAGACUUCCUUUCAAGGCUUAAAUUGAAAUUUAUAUUAUAACUAUGACCCAUGAUGACAGUUGGAAUGUGUUACUUAACAUGCAUUAAAAAUCUACUUGCAUAUAAAGAUAAAAUAAAAAAAAAUCUACUAGCAUAAAGAUAAAAUUAAAAGAUCUACUUGCAGAUAGAUAAGCAAAUGUUCUGAUUGCAAUGAAUAAUGGUAAAAAAGAUAUGACCUAAAAAAUUUAAAGAACAUACUGAAAAAGAAGAAUGUUAGAUUGAACAAGUUGAAAGUUUAAAAAGAUAGAGAAAAUUUAUAAGUACAAAGGUACUAUAAACAUAAUACAUUCGGAUGGAAAGUUGAAGAAAACACACUUUAACAGACAAUUUCUACAGCACACGGUUACAUUUACGACAGAAUUUAUGUCGAUUAAAAACAUCCUGAUCUGAGUCAUAAUCUCCAAAACUCCUGAUUUUAGUUUCACAGUCCAUCACAUGUAUGUGUACUGCAAGGUACCAUACCACAAAGGGAAGGCUGGGAUUGAGUUUGGGGGUGAUGAAUCAUAAGGGGGUUCAAAAAAUUUUUUUGGGGGGGGAUUUUUUUUUCUUUAAAAUUUUCCAUUUUAAAUUGGUUAUUUCUGAUUUAUAUAUAAAAGCAAAUAAUAAUGAUAUGGUUUGAAUAGAUAAAUUAAAAAAAUUUAAGUUCUUAGACCAAAUUUAUUCUGUGUCAGAAACCUAUGCUGUGUCAAAUAUUUAAUUACAAUCCAAAUUCAGUACUGUAUCAAGCUUGAAUGUUGUGUCCAUACUUGCCCCAACUGUUCAGGGUUCGACCUCUGCGGUCGUAUCAAGCUGCGCCCCAGCGGAGCAUUUUAUUGUGUUUUGGUCUGUUUUUCUUAUACUGUAUGCAAUAGGUCUACUAUAUUUGGUGUAUGGAAGGAUUGUAAGGUGUACAUGUCUAGCUGGCAGGUGUCAUCUGACCUUGACCUCAUUUUCAUGGUUCAGUGAUCAAAAUUAAGUUUUUGAGAUUUGAUCUUUUUUCUAAUACUAUAUGCAAUAGUUCAACUACAUUUGGUGUAUGGAAAUAUUUUAUGAUCUAUAUGUCAGUCACGCAGGUUUUAUUUGACCUUGACCUCAUUUUCAAGGUUCAUUGCUCAGUGUUAAGUUUUUGUGUUUUGGUCUGUUUUUCUUAAACUAUAAGCAAUAGGUCAACCAUAUUUGUUGUAUGGAAGAAUUGUUAGCUGUACAUGCCUGCCUAGCAUGGUUCAUCUGACCUUGACCUCAUUUUCAUGGUUCAUUGGUCAAUGUUUAGUUUACUUGGUUAAUGUUAAGUUUAUGUGACAGUUGUAAUAAAGCUUUAUAUUUAGGACUAUCAACAUAAUAUCAAUGAUUAGUAAAGGCGAGACAUUUCAGCGUGUGCACUCUUGUUUAACCCUGUAUACCAACAUUCCCCAUGUGAAAUUAUAAAAUUGUUUUGAAUAAACAUUGAAUGACAAAAUUUCUUCUAAUGUGACGUUUACAUUUUCUGACGUCAGACACGCGAAGCAAUGAAUGUGGUUUUUAUACGACCGCAAAAAUUGAAAAUUUUUUGGUCAUAUAUUGGUAUGACGUUGGCGUCGUCGUCGUCGUCGUCGUCGUCGUCGUCCGGCGUCGUCCGAAGACACAUUGGUUUUCGCACUCUAACUUUAGUUUAAGUGAAUGGAUCUCCAUGAAAUUUUACCAUAAGGUUCAAUACCACGAAAGGAAGGUUGGGAUUGAUUUUGGGGGUUAUGGUACCAACAGUUAAGGAAUUAGGGGCCAAAAAUAAGCAUUUUUGUAACUUCCAGACAAUAACUUGUGUGUAAGUGUAUGGAUCUCUCUGACAUUGUACCACAAGGUUCCAUAUCACAAAGGGAAGGCUGUAAUUGAUUUUGGGGGUAAUUGCCUCAAAAUUUUAGGAAUUAGGGGCCAAAAAAGGGGCAAAAAACAAGCAUUUUUCUAGUUUCAUGACAAUAACUUGUGUGUAAGUGUUUGGAUAUUUCUGAAAUUGUACUACAAGGUUCCAUAUCACAAAGGGAAAGCUGGAAUUGAGUUUGUGGGUAAUUGCCCGAAACGUUUAGGAAUAGGGGGCCAAAAAAGGGGCCAAAAAUAAGCAUUUUUCUAGUUUCCAGACAAUAACUUGUGUUCAAGUGUAUGGAUCUCUCUGAAAUUGUACUGCAAGGUACCAUACCACAAAGGGAAGGCUGGUAUUGAGUUUGGGGGUGAUGAAUCAUAAGGGGGUUCAAAAAAUUUGGGGGGGGGGAUUUUUUUUUUUCUUUUUUUUUUCUUUUUUUCCUUUUUUUUUUCUUUUAAAAAUUUUCCAUUUUAAGUUGGUUAUUUCUGAUUAAUAUUUAAAAGCAAAUAAUAAUGAUAUGGUAGGAGAUACACACCAAACAGGAUGUGUAAAUUAUUAUAUAAUAAGUAUUGUGCAAUAGCAAGAAAUUUUCAAUUGCACAGUAUUGCACAAUUGCAAGAAAUCUUCAAUUGCACAGUAUUGCGCAAUAGCAAGAAAUCUUCAAUUGCACAGUAUUGCGCAAUAGCAAGAAAUAUCCAAUAGCACAAUAUUGCGCAAUAGCAAGAAAUUGUCAAUUGUACAGUAUUGCACAAUAGCAAGAAAUAUUCAAUUGCACAGUAUUGUGCAAAAAAAGAUACUUCGUAUAAAUUGCUUAUUUCUUGAUCAAUUUCAAUGGGGUUUAUUCUUGAAUUCUUGGGGUUCUUUAAUAUGCUGAAUCUAACCAAGUAUUAAGUUUUUGGAUUUUGGGCCCCGUUUUUAAAUUGGUCCACAUUGAGGUCCAAAGGGUCCAAAAUUUAACUUUGUUUGAUUUCAUCAAAAAUUGAAUUAUUGGGGUUCUUUGAUAUGCCGAAUCUAACCGUGUAUUUAGAUUCUUAAUUUUUGGUUCCGUUUUCAAAUUGGUCUACAUUAAGGUCAAAAGGGUCCAAAAUUAAACUUAGUUUGAUUUUAACAAAAAUUUAAUUUUUAGGGUUCUUUGAUAUGCUGAAUCUAAACAUGUAUUUAGAUUUUUGAUUAUGGGCCCAGUUUUCAAGUUGGUCCAAAUCGGGGUCCAAAAUUAAACUUUGUUUGAUUUCAACAAAAAUUGAAUAUAUGGGGUUCUUUGAUAUGCUGAAUCUAACCAUGUAUUUAGAUUUUUGAUUUUUGGGCCCCGUUAUCAACUUUGUCCACAUUGAGGUCAAAAGGGUCCAAAAUUAAACUUUGUUUGAUUUCAUCAAAAAUUGAAUUCUUGGGGUUCUUUGAUAUGCUGAAUCUAACCAUGUAUUUAGAUUUUUUAUUUGUGGACCCGCUAUCAAAUUGGUUCAUAUUGAGGUCAAAAGGGUCCAAAAUUAAACUUUGUUUGAUUUCAUCAAAAAUUGAAUUAUUGGGGUUCUUUGAUAUGCCAAAUCUAACCGUGUAUUUAGAUUUUUAAUUUUGGGUCCCGUUUUUAAAUUGGUCUACAUUAAGGUCCAGAGGGUCCAAAAUUAAACUUAGUUUGAUUUUAACAAAAAUUGAAUUCUUGGGGUUCUUUGAUAUGCUGAAUCUAAACAUGUGUUUAGAUUUUUGAUUAUGGGCCCAGUUUUCAAGUUGGUCCAAGUUGGGGUCCAAAAUUAAACUUUGUUUGAUUUCAACAAAAA
Molecule: long non-coding RNA, 23295 nt
Organism: Mytilus californianus (California mussel)
Lineage: Eukaryota; Metazoa; Mollusca; Bivalvia; Mytilida; Mytilidae
Exons: 6
Source: RefSeq, a predicted model, not a curated record